Molecule: small nuclear RNA, 137 nt
Organism: Pristis pectinata (smalltooth sawfish)
Lineage: Eukaryota; Metazoa; Chordata; Chondrichthyes; Rhinopristiformes; Pristidae
Product: U4 spliceosomal RNA
Exons: 1
Source: RefSeq, a predicted model, not a curated record
AGCUUUGUGCAGUGGCAGUAUCAUAGCCGAGGUUUACCUGAGGCGCGGUUAUUGCUUAUUGAAAACUUUUCCCAAUGCCCCGCUAUGACGACUUGAAUAUAGUAGACAUUGGCAAUUUUUGACAGUCUCUGUGGAGA